CAGUCGCCACGGUAAUACGUAGGUGGCAAGCGUUGUCCGGAAUUAUUGGGCGUAAAGGGCUCGCAGGCGGUUUCUUAAGUCUGAUGUGAAAGCCCCCGGCUCAACCGGGGAGGGUCAUUGGAAACUGGGAAACUUGAGUGCAGAAGAGGAGAGUGGAAUUCCACGUGUAGCGGUGAAAUACGUAGAGAUGUGGAGGAACACCAGUGGCGAAGGCGACUCUCUGGUCUGUAACUGACGCUGAGGAGCGAAAGCGUGGGGAGCGAACAGGAUUAGAUACCCCAGUAGUCCCUGUCUCUUAUAC
This 301-nucleotide ribosomal RNA is filed under the name uncultured bacterium. RNAcentral describes it as "partial 16S ribosomal RNA". It matches the Rfam family "Bacterial small subunit ribosomal RNA", at positions 509 to 807 of the family's 1533-position model. The record is from RNAcentral.